This 396-nucleotide ribosomal RNA is filed under the name uncultured bacterium. Its description in RNAcentral is "partial 16S ribosomal RNA". It matches the Rfam family "Bacterial small subunit ribosomal RNA", at positions 523 to 918 of the family's 1533-position model. The record is from RNAcentral.
AUACGUAGGUGGCAAGCGUUGUCCGGAUUUACUGGGUGUAAAGGGCGUGUAGGCGGAGAUGCAAGUCAGGAGUGAAAUCUAGGGGCUCAACCCCUAAACUGCUUUUGAAACUGUAUCCCUUGAGUAUCGGAGAGGCAGGCGGAAUUUCUAGUGUAGCGGGGAAAUGCGUAGAUAUUAGGAGGAACACCAGUGGCGAAGGCGGCCUGCUGGACGACAACUGACGCUGAGGCGCGAAAGCGUGGGGAGCAAACAGGAUUGGAUACCCUGGUAGUCCACGCUGUAAACGAUGAACACUAGGUGUGGGGGGACUGACCCCCUCCGUGCCGCAGUUAACACAAUAAGUAUUCCACCUGGGGAGUACGAUCGCAAGAUUGAAACUCAAAUGAAUUGACGGGG